UACUUUAUCCUGCUGAAGUUG
This 21-nucleotide non-coding RNA is filed under the name Caenorhabditis elegans. The record is from RNAcentral. Lineage: Eukaryota; Metazoa; Nematoda; Chromadorea; Rhabditida; Rhabditidae.